Molecule: small nuclear RNA, 18 nt
Filed under: Arabidopsis thaliana (thale cress)
Lineage: Eukaryota; Viridiplantae; Streptophyta; Magnoliopsida; Brassicales; Brassicaceae
Description: snRNA_04716
Source: RNAcentral
CAGCAUCAUCAAGAUUCU